Molecule: ribosomal RNA, 172 nt
Filed under: uncultured bacterium
Lineage: Bacteria
Description: partial 16S ribosomal RNA
Rfam family: Bacterial small subunit ribosomal RNA
Source: RNAcentral
ACUCCUACGGGAGGCAGCAGUGGGGAAUAUUGGACAAUGGGCGCAAGCCUGAUCCAGCCAUGCCGCGUGAGUGAUGAAGGCCCUAGGGUUGUAAAGCUCUUUCACCGGAGAAGAUAAUGACGGUAUCCGGAGAAGAAGCCCCGGCUAACUUCGUGCCAGCAGCCGCGGUAAU